Molecule: long non-coding RNA, 1445 nt
Filed under: Gallus gallus (chicken)
Lineage: Eukaryota; Metazoa; Chordata; Aves; Galliformes; Phasianidae
Description: lncRNA (ENSGALG00010011684.1)
Source: RNAcentral
GUGCAACAACCAGUUAUAAAACAGUUGAAAAACAACUGGAAGAGAUCAAAGGAGGAAGGACGUUUGAAAUGUACAGUAAUAAGGAACAGCUCAGGGACCAGUUUAUCUGUAUUGCUUCAGCUCAGUAAAGCUGAUAUGAAUCAUAGAAUUGUAGUGUCAUAGAAUGUUUUGGGUUGAAAGGGAUCUUUAAGAUCAACUAAUUCCAACCCCCUGCUACAGACAGGGACACCUCCCUCUAGACCAGGUUGCUCACAGCCCCAUCCAGCGUGAGCUUGAAUGCUUCCAGGGAGGGGGCAUCCGCAACCUUGUUUGGCAACAUAUUCCAGUGUCUCACCGCCCUCAAGGAAUAAUAGGCCUUCUUCCUACUGACAUGGAUUCUCAGAUGGAUCAGUAAUUCAUGUGGCAUUAUCAUCCUGUGAAGAGAAGCCUUGGAAGAGCAAAACAUUGAAACAGAUAAAAGACCUGGAAGAUCCUGUUAUCCUGUCUUUGGCAAGGUACAGAACAAGUGCACAGAGUUGUUUCCCCAGAAAUAUUCACCUUCCUUCCUCCAACAGUUUGCAACUCAAUGUCUUCCUGAGCCAGAGCAGUAAUCACAUUCAACUAUUACUGGACUUCUCUUCCCGGAAUAUUUUCCAUAUCACCUUCAAUUCAUGUAGAUGUUCAGUACCUACAGUAUCCAGAUACCUCUUGGGCCUGUAGCCACUGCCAACUCUUUUCAACAAAAGCAAUGGUAUUGCAUCCCAGGUGAUUUUAAGCUAACAGACUGUCCGCCAGAAGUUGAACAAUAUCAUCUGUCACUUCAAAGCGCUCUUGUGUACGACUUAUCUUACCCUGGCAGAAAGAGGUUCAUUGGGAACUAAAAUGGGCAAGACAUGCAAAGACAGUAGUGAAACAAGCCAAGGAAGGAAUUGUUCAGAAUGGACAACUAAUGCUCAUUUGCAGUGCUUUGCCCAACUCAACAGUUUUGGCACAAGACAUGGACUUGAAGCAUGAGUUGUCCAUCUCUGGGCAAGGGACCUGAUGUUGCACAAAAGAAAUAAAGAAUUCAUUCAAGGGCAUCCAACAGUGUAACGAGAUAAUUACUCUGUCAAAACCAACAGGAUGCACUGCUUCUGGGUUUGGAGGAAAAGGUCCUUGAGUACUGACCAGCUUUCUUGGACCCUUCCUCCUGCCAGGGCUUUCUCCCAUGUCAUCCUGCCAAGCAGCUCCCUGUAGAGUUCAAAGUCAGCUCUCCUGAAGUCCAGAGUAGCAAGCUACGUGACACCAUCUUGGACUGACAAACCUUCACUUUGAACCUCAAGAAGUGGUAGACAAGACACCAGGAAGCUUCUACCAUUGAGUCAUCUUCAUCUUUAUUCCGAAAGACUUGUGUAUGUCAAAAAUUUGGAGGAUGAAACGAAACGAAAGGAUUAAGUCAAGACACAGUCUUAAUUUAAUACAAAGAU